Long non-coding RNA from Oryza brachyantha (malo sina), 1900 nucleotides. RefSeq lists it as uncharacterized. The record is from RefSeq and is a predicted model, not a curated record. The transcript has 3 exons. Lineage: Eukaryota; Viridiplantae; Streptophyta; Magnoliopsida; Poales; Poaceae.
CUGCUUGCAUUGUGACUUUUGGUUCUGUUCUGUUUGCUACUCUGCAUUGAGCUUUUCUCCAGACAGACAUCAUGUCCCAGAAUGCUUGAAUCAAGUCCCCUUUCACCAAAGAAUGGACAAUGGUUGCUAAAUCCAGGCCUACACAUGGCAAGUAGAUAUUCCUCUCACUGCUUAGGAAAGAAAGAGCAUAUGUGGGAUCAUUUUUUCAUGGUUUUGUUAAGCCUAUUGUUUCACAACUUGCAUUAGUCUAAAGCGCUAAACUUUCUCGUGCAUGUUUUUGAAUCAGUACCAAGUUCACAUGUUGCGUUUUUCUCCAUGCUUGCUCUAGUCUAUAUGUGUUCUGGCUCUGAAGGAAACACCUAGAAUGAAGGAAUUGACUACCAUUAAUAUCAAUUUGGCACUUUCAGAUUCACACAUCAAAGCUAUUUUGUUACGCAAGUAACCAAAUAACCAAGCAUGGUUUGGAUCACUAGAAUUCUGUUGCAUAUUUCAUGGUGUUAACAAAAGCAGACAACAGUAACAACCAACAUCUAUGGUCUUUACCAUUAAAACUACACAUGCUUAUUAAAAGAACUUACAUCCGCAUCUUCAUCUAUUUCUUCAAAGUCCCUGGAUUUCUUUCUUGAGUGUCCCCUACCUGUGGUCAUGCAGGGUGGAUAAGCAGACAUGCAAAUUACGAUAACGAAAUAAUUUUCUUUAAGGCCUUCAUAUUUGCCAGGUGAUUCCAGAAUUUAUAGAUCAGAGGGAUUUAUUGACAGUUUGACAUCAGAAAAAUGUUUAGUGAAGGCCAAAUAUCAUAGAUUGAUUGUAUUUCCAUACUGGUGUAUCAUUACUUAGAUUGCUGCAGGUAGUUGGCACAAUUUCACAAACUGCCUAGUAAUGGGCAUCCAACAUAUUAUAUUUUAACUUGUUUCCUGGAUUUAACAAUAAGAGCUUGCUGGGUAUAGUAACAAGAGUUUAAUUUUUUUUAACAGUUUGCACCAACAGGCCAAAUAUUUUCUGUUUUCAAUCACUUGUAAGUAGCAGAUUACCACAAUGCUUACUACUGCACUGUCAUUAUGUUCAUCAGGUAUUGCAUUUCACUAUGUUCAUCAGGUAUUACAUUUCACUUGAACAUGAAACUGGAGAGAGUUACCUGCAAACCCACUGAAAGUGUGUCUUCUGCUUCCUUGCUUCCUGUCCAACAGGAACUUGGCGUCGCGUCUGAAAUAGAGCAUGCCGAUGAGGCCCCACAUGCAGCCUGUGUUGUUCUCCUGCUGCCUAGCCGGUCUUUGACUUCUCUUCCCCAUGUCGGAUGGCUUGUUCCUCUGCUCUUUGCAAUUUGCAUACCCCUUCUAUUCUUUACAGGCUAGUUCAUUGGGCUAAUCCUCUUGCCGCAAGUUUGGUUCCUGAAAGAUACUCUGCAGUUAGCUGAUGAACACUCUGGAUUCAUCCUGAUGACCAUGCACGUAUGAAAGAACAGAAGAAAUAAGAUUUCGCAGGAGCAAGAGUAAGAGGAAAUGCAGCAAACUGCCAGCAUAAACCAACAGCAACAGGUUCCAAUGAUCUGUUAUCAAAGGAAGAUAUGCUAAAAACGCCUCAAAUACACAGACAAACAUUUCUUCAUGCAAAACUUACCUGAUAACUGAGAGAACACAAGGAGCUUCGGCAAUAGCCAAUCUGAACCAAGAAACCACGACCACUAAAAUUCAAUUCCUCAGGACAUGCUCAUGGCCAUGUGAAGGGAUGCUAGAACCUGAAGCCCUGAGCUGUGCGCCCUUUUGGCAACGGUAACGGAAGGAAUCAGAAGCCUUUCUUGCACAAGCCUCGCUUUGAAGAAUGGAGGGAAGGCAACACUAGCUAGCUUGGUAAGGCAGCCAACACCACAUGGCAUGCACAAGCAAAAUGGACUUUCGGUCAG